AGUUCGAUCAUGGCUCAGAUUGAACGCUGGCGGGAUGUUUUACACAUGUGCAAGUCGAACGGCAGCACGGACUUCGGUCUGGUGGCGAGUGGGCAGAACGGGUGAGUAAUGUAUCGGAACGUGCCCGGUAGCGGGGGAUAAUCACGCGAAAGCGUAGCUAAUACCGCAUACUGCCCUUCGGGGGAAAGUGGGGGGACCUUCGGGCCUCGCACCAUUAGGAGCGGCCGAUAUCGGAUUAGCUAGUUGGUGGGGCAACGGCUCAUCAAGGCGACGAUCCGUAGCUGGUUUGAGAGGACGACCGCCACACACUGGGAUCAAUGAGACACGGCCCAGACUCCUACGGAGGCAGCAGUGGGGAAUUUUGACAAAUGGGGGAAACCCUGAUCCAGCCAUCCCGCGUGUGCGAUGAAGGCCUUCCUCAGGUUGUAAAGCACUUUUGGCAGGAAAGAAACGGCACGGGAUACCACGUGCAAUCCACGGUACCUGCAGAAUAAGCACCGGCUAACUACGUGCCGGCAGCCGCGGUAAGGAUGUAGGUAAGGCAAGCGUUAAUCGGAAUUACUGGGCGCAAAAGCGUGCGCAGGCGGUUCGGAAAGAAAGAUGGUGAAACUUGGAGCUUAACUUUGGAACUGCAUUUUUAACUACCGAGCUAGAGUGUGUCAGAGGGAGGUGGAAUUCGCGUGUAGCAGUGAAAUGCGUAGAUAUGCGGAGGAACACCGAUGGCGAAGGCAGCCUCCUGGGAUAACACUGACGCUCAUGCACGAAAGCGUGGAGCAAACAGGAUUAGAUACUCCGGUAGUCCACGCCCUAAACGAUGUCAACUAGCUGUUGGGGCCUUCGGCCCGGUAGCGCAGCUAACGCGUGAAGUUGACCGCCUUUGGGGAGUACGGUCGCAAGGUUAAAACUCAAAAAGGAAUUGGACGGACCCGCACGCGGUGGAUGAUGUGGAUUAAUUCGAUGCAACGCGAAAACCUUACCUACCCUUGACAGUGUCUGGAAUCCCGAAGAGAUUUGGGAGUGCUCGCAAGAGAACCGGAACACAGGUGCUGUAUGGCUGUCGUCAGCUCGUGUCGUGAGACGUUGAAGAAGUCCCGCAACGAGCGCAACCCUUAUUGGUUGCUGCCGAAAGGGCACUCUAAUGAGACUGCCGGUGACAAACCGGAGGAGGUGGAUGACGUCAAGUCCUCAUGGCCCUUAUGGCAGGGGCUUCACGUCAUACAAUGGUCGGGACAGAGGGUCGCCAACCCGCGAGGGGGAGCAAAUCCCAGAAACCCGAUCGUAGUCCGGAUCGCAGUCUGCAAACUCGACUGCAGUCGGAAUCGCUAGUAAUCGCGACCAGCAUGUCGCGGUGAAUACGUUCCCGGGUCUCGUGCUGACACCGCCCGUCGUUCAAGGGAGUGGUUUUACCAGAAGUAGUUAGCCUAACCGUAAGGGGAGGGCGAUUAACACGGUAGGAUUCAUGAUCAGGUGAAGUCGUAACAAGGUAG
This 1487-nucleotide ribosomal RNA is filed under the name uncultured Bordetella sp. RNAcentral describes it as "partial 16S-23S ribosomal RNA intergenic spacer". It matches the Rfam family "Bacterial small subunit ribosomal RNA". Lineage: Bacteria; Pseudomonadati; Pseudomonadota; Betaproteobacteria; Burkholderiales; Alcaligenaceae. The record is from RNAcentral.